UACAGAGGGUGCGAGCGUUAAUCGGAUUUACUGGGCGUAAAGCGUGUGUAGGUGGUUAUUCAAGUCGGUUGUGAAAUCCCUGGGCUCAACCUGGGAACUGUUUCCGAGACUGAAUGACUAGAGUACGGUAGAGGGUGGUGGAAUUUCCGGUGUAGCGGUGAAAUGCGUAGAUAUCGGAAGGAACAUCGAUGGCGAAGGCAGCCACCUGGGCCAGUACUGACGCUGAGGCACGAAAGCGUGGGGAUCAAACAGG
This 253-nucleotide ribosomal RNA is filed under the name uncultured bacterium. RNAcentral describes it as "partial 16S ribosomal RNA". It matches the Rfam family "Bacterial small subunit ribosomal RNA", at positions 524 to 776 of the family's 1533-position model. The record is from RNAcentral.